ACGGGAGGCAGCAAUGAGGAAUUUUCCGCAAUGGGCGAAAGCCUGACGGAGCAAUACCGCGUGAGGGAUGAAGGAUUUUGGUCUGUAAACCUCUUUUCUCAAGAAAGAAGUUCUGACGGUACUUGAGGAAUAAGCAUCGGCUAACUCCGUGCCAGCAGCCGCGGUAAUACGGGGGAUGCAAGCGUUAUCCGGAAUCAUUGGGCGUAAAGCGCCUGUAGGUUGUUUAAUAAGUCUGUUGUUAAAGACUAGGGCUCAACCCUAGGAAAGCAAUGGAAACUACUAGACUUGAGUAUGGCAGGGGUAGAGGGAAUUUCUAGUGUAGCGGUGAAAUGCGUAGAUAUUAGAAAGAACACCGGUGGCGAAAGCGCUCUACUGGACCAUUACUGACACUCAGAGGCGAAAGGCUAGGGUAGCAAAAGGGAUUAGAUACCCCUGUAGUCCUAGCCGUAAACCGAGUGGAUAUCUAGACUGUUGUGCUUUAUGUACAGUGUUCCUAGCUAAACGCGUUAAGUAUCCCGCCUGGGGAGUACGCUCGCAAGGGUG
RNAcentral lists this ribosomal RNA (543 nucleotides) under uncultured marine bacterium. RNAcentral's name for it is "bacterial SSU rRNA". It matches the Rfam family "Bacterial small subunit ribosomal RNA", at positions 341 to 896 of the family's 1533-position model. The record is from RNAcentral.